CUUUCAACAACGGAUCUCUUGGUUCCAGCAUCGAUGAAGAACGCAGCGAAAUGCGAUAAGUAAUGUGAAUUGCAGAAUUCAGUGAAUCAUCGAAUCUUUGAACGCACAUUGCGCCCCUCGGUAUUCCGGGGGGCAUGCCU
RNAcentral lists this ribosomal RNA (140 nucleotides) under Tephromela grumosa. RNAcentral's name for it is "5.8S ribosomal RNA". It matches the Rfam family "5.8S ribosomal RNA". Rfam says of the family: 5.8S ribosomal RNA (5.8S rRNA) is a component of the large subunit of the eukaryotic ribosome. Lineage: Eukaryota; Fungi; Ascomycota; Lecanoromycetes; Lecanorales; Tephromelataceae. RNAcentral also lists the same sequence under 3 other names. The record is from RNAcentral.